CAAAAUAUUAUUUAUGCCAGGGGGAGUCAAAUGGCGGCACCCAGAUAAUUUUUAUCUGGCCCUCCAACUGGUUUUUGAUGUUUAAAACCGCUCGCAAUCUGAUAUCAAAGUCCCCGCAAAGGUUUAGCGUUUUCAGCGUGAAUGUCAACCCGUUCUCACUCCUGACCGUUCUCACGCUGAAGAAGUCUCCUUCAGAACACAUCGCGAUAUUUGGCAUCAGUUCGCGUGUGCUGGAUGUUGCUGAAAAGACAAAAAGGGCCUUUUGGAAAUGGAUGAAGGAGACAGAAAGCUGCAAAGGCAAAUAAUUGCAAUGGAUUACUUGCAGAUUACUUAGUCCUUCUUUUUAGGAUCUCUACAACAUCAAACUCAACAGCUCUUUUAAGAGCCGACCCUCACAAGAGCUACUAGUGAGUCGCUGCAAACCUGCCGUGAUCAGCCCUUUCCAGAGAAGGAAGACCAGUCCUUAUAUCAAAACAAGCUCAUCGAAGUCCUUUGUUUAGGGUGAGGAAGGAACAUGACCAUCUCAUGACCAUCUCAUGCCCAAAGAAGACAGAAGUCCAUUGCAAGUGAAGUCACUAACAGAAGAUCCUAGAGGAAAAACGACUGAUGUGCAGCUACGGAGGAACACAAGAGGCAGAAAUAUGCAUGGCCAUGGCUUCUUCAUGAGUACGACCAGGACUGAAGAACGCCUGACAAUGGGAUGUUAAGACUUCUUCCUCUGGUUGAGAAAAAGCUACAGCACAUCAGUGAUCACAUCUUCUGGUCAUCAGUUGUACUGUAGAGUACAACUGAACAAACUGUUUAGAAGAAGAAGAACAUGAACAUGAUAGAGACGUGUACAGGGAAGAGCAAGAACCCAGUUCAGCUGUGAUAAUGAAUCUUUAUUUUAAACUCAAUAUCAAAUCUGUUUUCUGGAUCAUAGUUGACUGGAUGGGAUUCUGUGGCGCUCAUUUGUGCAAUAGGAGUAAAGUCUGUGAAUGGAUUAUUAUGACAUUAACGUAUUUUUGAAGACACGUUUUUAUUUAUCUUGAAUCUCAUUUGUCUUUAUGCAAAUUUCAACCUUAUGCUGUAUCCUCCAAUAAAGUGUUGUGUAAUAAAUUAUGGUGAACGUG
This is a long non-coding RNA of Megalobrama amblycephala (Wuchang bream), 1112 nucleotides long. RefSeq lists it as uncharacterized. The record is from RefSeq and is a predicted model, not a curated record. Lineage: Eukaryota; Metazoa; Chordata; Actinopteri; Cypriniformes; Xenocyprididae. The transcript is spliced from 7 exons.